Long non-coding RNA from Manis pentadactyla (Chinese pangolin), 1865 nucleotides. RefSeq lists it as uncharacterized. NCBI's taxonomy places the organism in Eukaryota, Metazoa, Chordata, Mammalia, Pholidota, Manidae. The record is from RefSeq and is a predicted model, not a curated record. The transcript has 3 exons.
GCCAAUGACAGAAGGAGCUGCUCUCCAAAGAGGGCUGAGGUUUACAUCAGAGAUGUGUUUCCAGUUUCAGCUGCUAGGGGGCAGAACUGCGGUAGCAGUAAUGGAAUGUUUCCAGAAGUGAAGAAGCUGGAGGCAGAAUUAGGCAUCUAGCCAAUUAAAAAGCAAGAAAAGGUGCAGGCCAGAGGAGGCACAGGAACCCGGGCUCAGCAGAGCCUGUAGGCGGGAAUGAGGGUGUGGAAAGCCCAGAGAAAACGCUGAGGUGGCAGUAGGCUGCCAAAAACUGCUGAGAUGCAGGCUGAGAAGGGCUCAGUGGACCCCACGGACCUGGGACUAUCUCUGACGAGGGUACCCAUGGUGCAGUUCCCGCAAACAAGAAUGUUGGAACACAAAAUGAGUAUUUACAGAAAGACUCAGAAACAGUUUACCAUGCCUGGACAUCCCGCCCUUUAUCAUGGAUAUAUGUGCUCCUGACUGUGACUCUAUACUGCAUACAUGGAAUUAGAGAAAACGAGUUAAGAUACGAUAUGAAGAAGAACUUCCAACAUCAACAUCAUCUGGAAGAGUCAUUCCAGAAGAUGAUCAUCAAAAAACUUCAACAAAGAUCCUGGCGCUGUUGCAGUUGUAGCUGCAUUCAUCCCACCGGUUCCUGGACUUGUCAUUGGAAUGAAGAAGGAGAUAUCUAAGCUGGCCUGUACAUACAGUAAAACAACAAAUUUGACUGGAUCUAUAUUGUUGGAACUCAACCAAGAAUUAGGAGAAGUGCAAGGUGCAGUACCCCAAAAUUGUGCGACUAUAGACUAUUUACUGUAAGAACAUAUGGGAUGUGAACAGUUCCCAGGAAUGUGUUGUUUUGUCUGAUUUUUCUCAAACUAUUCAAAUUGUUAGACAAUAUCCAUCAUAUUAUUGAUAAGUUUUCACAAAUGCCUAGGGUACCUAACUGGUUUUCUUGGUUUCACUGGAUAUGGCUGGUAAUUGUAGGUCUGCUUUUGUUGUGUAUCUGUAUUCUUAUUCUGUUAAUGUGUGCAUGCAAUUUAAUUAGUAGUUUGUUAAAACCUAUACAUGCUUAUGUUACUCUACAAGAAGAUAUGUCAAAGAAAUAAUCAAUCUUCCUAUGUUUUCUUCCAUCUGCUACUUCUAUAGCUUUUCUUCUUCCUUCCUAAUUACAACCCUUUAGUAGAAUUUGUGCCUCAUAUCGAAAAUUAUCAAGUAUCAUCAUUCUUCCAAGUGGUAAAGAUACCUCAAGACAAAUGCUGGGCAUAGAAGCCACAGGGCAUAAAUCUGCAAAGAAGUAUAAAGCUAACCUUUUCAAAGAAUAUUGCUUCUCUCUCACUUACCAACUUUACAUUUCCCUGUAUGGCCCCGGAAGACGGCUGGUUAGCCAGAGACCGGUAAGAUUCCUCAAGGGAGGAACAACCUAAGACAGGCACAGUUGCAGGGGGGCCAUUGGGUGAGAAAUUGGGGAUCAGCAGAGGUGAGGCUUAGAACCUCACCCCCCUGUUUUGAGAGAAAUCUUCUGCAUCUGUGGAUGUUUUGUUGCCCUUGUCUAUAGACACAGAUCUGAUCAUCUACAUUUGCCCCCUUACAGCACUACAUUAUGUUUUCUACCUUUAUCUUGCAUCUACCUACCACUUCAUUUUAUUUAAAUAAUUUUAUUUAAUAAAUAAACAAAUACAUAAAUAAAUGAGAAAUGUGGGAUUCACAUAUAAAUCAAGUAUAAAAAUCAAACGAAUAAUCAUAUUUGACUUGAUUGUUUAUAGUUCAUGAUGUGUGAUCAAAACCGAAAGUUUCUGUGAUAUGACUGCCCUUGCACCGUUCACCAUGUAAGAACUUAUUCACUAUGUAAGAACUUGUUCACCAUGUAAGAA